UACAGAGGGUGCAAGCGUUAAUCGGAAUUACUGGGCGUAAAGCGUGCGUAGACGGUUACGUAAGUCGGGUGUGAAAGCCCCGGGCUCAACCUGGGAAUUGCAUUCGAGACUGCAUAGCUAGGGUGCGGAAGAGGUAAGCGGAAUUUCCGGUGUAGCGGUGAAAUGCGUAGAUAUCGGAAGGAACACCAGUGGCGAAAGCGGCUUCCUGGUCCAGCACCGACGUUCAGGCACGAAAGCGUGGGGAGCAAACAGG
This 253-nucleotide ribosomal RNA is filed under the name uncultured bacterium. RNAcentral's name for it is "partial 16S ribosomal RNA". It matches the Rfam family "Bacterial small subunit ribosomal RNA", at positions 524 to 776 of the family's 1533-position model. The record is from RNAcentral.